Molecule: non-coding RNA, 787 nt
Filed under: Gasterophilus haemorrhoidalis
Lineage: Eukaryota; Metazoa; Arthropoda; Insecta; Diptera; Oestridae
Also listed under: 1 other name
Source: RNAcentral
UUAAAGUUUUAUUUUGGCUUGGAAAUUUAUUUUCAACUUAAUUUAUAUGUAAAUUUUUGUGAGGAUUUGCGUUAAUUUUAAUGAUUAAUGUAAUUUUUGAUAUUCGCAGUAAUUAGUAUUGCUAUUUAAGGGGACUUAGAAGUAGUAAUGUUGUGUAGUAUUGGCUAAUUUUGUGCCAGCAGCCGCGGUUAUACGAACGAUGCAAAUAAAUUAUAUUGGUUUGAGUUAGAUUGAGCGAAUGAAAAUUAAAUUAAGUUUGUUAGGUGAAAUUUUAAAUUUAUGCAAUUUUUGUGUUGAUUGAUUGAAGCUUGAAAAUUUUAAGUGUAAACUAGGAUUAGAUACCCUAUUAUUUAAAACGUAGUUUAUUAAGCUUAGGUAGUAGUAGAUAUGUUCUUGAAACUUAAAAAAUUUGGCGGUAUUUUAGUCUAUUCAGAGGAACCUGUCCUGUAAUCGAUAAUCCACGUUGGACCUUACUUAAGUUUGUUAAACAGUUUAUAUACCGUCGUUAUGAGAAAAUUUUAUGAGAAUGAUCAUUUUCGGGAGUUUUUAUUAGAAAAUAUAUCAGAUCAAGGUGUAGCUUAUAUUUAAGUAGAGAUGGGUUACAAUAAAUUUAUUUAAAUGGAUUUAUGAGUUGAAAUUUUUUAUUGAAGGUGGAUUUGGUAGUAAAGUUAUAUAGGUAAAUAAUUUGACUUUAGCUCUAAAAUAUGCACACAUCGCCCGUCGCUCUUAUUAUUAAGAUAAGAUAAGUCGUAACAUAGUAGAUGUACUGGAAAGUGUAUCUAGAAUG